UGCGCUGCCUAUUCGGGUUUGCGACAGGUAAUGCAGCUGCUUUCAAGCAGCUUAUUUGAGCGCGCUGCUUUAUGAUACAGGUGGGAGCGCAGUCACAUGGUAUUUUUCAUAUUUCGUCAGGUUUGUUUGUCGGCCGGAAAGCAUGUAACGCAAAUUAAUUAGUACGUCGCUGAAAACACACGUUAGAUGUCAUUGGGGGGUCCCUGUGGGUGCCUACAAAUGCCUCGUUAACACUUUGAUAAUAAGGACAAUACUUACUAAUUAGAUAAUUAAUUGCAAUUGUCUAAUUAAGCUUCAGGAACGAAAGAAUUACUGGGUGGAUACUCCGCUGUACUGGUAAUAAUACGCACUAGGCUUUCUUGGAGUAACGAAACUGCUCUCUUUUUACGUCUUGGUGCAUGAUAGUUGGGACAUUCUGUAUAAUUCACUCAGUAACCGAAAUGAGGCCAAGCCGGAUUCAUUCGAAAUCAGAAUCAACAGCAAUCAUGCGCAAGACUCACAGAAAAAAAGAAAAAAAAAAGGAGGCUGCAGUUUCGCUGGGAAGGCGAAGCAGUAAUAAUGAUAGCGAAGUAUACGACAAUUACACGAAAAAAGAUUACACCAACGAGAUACGCCAGACUUUUGUUUGUGGGAGAGGACUCAGGCUGUGAAAUUGAACAGUCUCCUACCAUGAGGUCUUAUAAAUUCUCAUAUAAAGCCGUAACUUUAGUGAAUAAUGAAUAUUCGAGGUCACAAAAAGUUUCAAGCGCAACAAAAAAAGAUAUUGAAUACCGCUGCACUGUUCUUGCUUAAGUUUUGCAGAAUGAUCGCAUUUUGGCGUCGAUUUCGUUUAGUAUAACACUUGCAACAGUUAAGUGCCUGGUUUUUAAGAAAAAGAAAGUGCAAAUUUGCCUGCGCUUAUGGUCAUGCGAGCUGCUGCCGCAACGGCGAUAACAUAAAAUUGUUUCGCCGCCUGCCGUCAGCCACAGAAAGCAGCGCUUCAAGGAGGGCUACCCGUGUUGCCCGCUCAUUGAGCCUGGAACCAUGUCAUGAUUUUGGAACUUGGAGCUGUAUCCCUGGAAAAGGUGACCAUGGAGGAAGGAAAAGUUUUCAUCCCUCUAUAAAGGCGACUUUUCUUUUUUUCUUUUAAUUUUUUUUUCUUAUAGUUUUCCUAUAGUUUUCUUACAUUUUCUUAUUUGUUUUCUGGGCUCGCCGCCAUUUGGCAACAUUGAUGGCAACGCACAUGGUCAGUUGGCGCCAUGGAGAAAGGAAAAGUUGGCGCUGAAGAGUUAUUUGCGCAUGACGUGCUUGCUGUCUCGUGCGGUCGCACAUUUCAAAAUAGUAUAAUGAGUACCUUUAGCUUACAGUUAACAAAUAAUACAAUUUGCCAAAGGCUGCGAGUACUGACAGUUUCUUCACUGCCAGCGUUCCCGUCUUGUGGCGUAAAAUGUUCGUGUGGUGUAGCAGUGCCUGGUUGUGGAAAGCCGCUGCUGUCGGCGGUGGUCGACCACAGCAGCGGUGCAUAGCCACUUGGGAGUCAGUCCGCGAGACGUGAUGUCGUGUAGCACCUGGGGAGGAAGGCGCCCAGUGGCAACGCCAUUUUCGUCUUUGCACACAAGGUAGUCGGCGACACAAGGAAUCCUGUUCAUGCUGCUGCGUUGAGAGGAACUGGCUGCUAUGCCGUCACCUUCUGGGCUGCCAAUCCAGACGACAAAAGUGUGCAGGAAGGUUAAAGAUGCAACACUUCCCAACGUCCCUAGCUCUGCCUGCUGAAGACUGCCUGCUUAAGCCAGCGACGCUUGUGAUUGCGGCCUGCUGUGGUGUGCUUCGGAAGCCUCUGUAAUGUACAGCACUUCUUCAAGCAGCGGUGAAUCAAGUUGUUCCAAAAUCUCCUGUGAUUCUGCAGACUCAGACGCCGUAGACAGUGUCGCU
Molecule: non-coding RNA, 1911 nt
Organism: Dermacentor andersoni
Lineage: Eukaryota; Metazoa; Arthropoda; Arachnida; Ixodida; Ixodidae
Source: RefSeq, a predicted model, not a curated record